GCGGACAUAUCGGUCCUGUCUUCUAAACAGGUUAACCGUAAUUUGGAUGAUGUGGGUUCGAGUCCCACUGUCCGCG
RNAcentral lists this transfer RNA (76 nucleotides) under bacterium. RNAcentral's name for it is "tRNA-OTHER". It matches the Rfam family "tRNA". From Rfam's summary of the family: Transfer RNA (tRNA) molecules are approximately 80 nucleotides in length. Their secondary structure includes four short double-helical elements and three loops (D, anti-codon, and T loops). The record is from RNAcentral.